GGAGAUGAAUGGCUGAGUGGUUAUAGCUCCGGUCUUGAAAACCGGUAUAGUUCGAAACAAAGAACUAUCGAGGGUUCGAAUCCCUUCUCUNUCC
Transfer RNA from Corchorus capsularis, 94 nucleotides. It matches the Rfam family "Selenocysteine transfer RNA". The record is from Rfam. Lineage: Eukaryota; Viridiplantae; Streptophyta; Magnoliopsida; Malvales; Malvaceae.